GGAGAUUUAGCUCAAUAGUACAGCACUUGCCUAACAUUCAUGAGGCCCUGGGUUCAAUCCUCAGUAUCUCAC
Molecule: transfer RNA, 72 nt
Filed under: Fukomys damarensis (Damara mole-rat)
Lineage: Eukaryota; Metazoa; Chordata; Mammalia; Rodentia; Bathyergidae
Rfam family: tRNA
About the family: Transfer RNA (tRNA) molecules are approximately 80 nucleotides in length. Their secondary structure includes four short double-helical elements and three loops (D, anti-codon, and T loops). Further hydrogen bonds mediate the characteristic L-shaped molecular structure. tRNAs have two regions of fundamental functional importance: the anti-codon, which is responsible for specific mRNA codon recognition, and the 3' end, to which the tRNAs corresponding amino acid is attached (by aminoacyl-tRNA synthetases). tRNAs cope with the degeneracy of the genetic code in two manners: having more than one tRNA (with a specific anti-codon) for a particular amino acid; and 'wobble' base-pairing, i.e. permitting non-standard base-pairing at the 3rd anti-codon position.
Source: Rfam by way of RNAcentral